UACAGAGGGUGCUAGCGUUGUUCGGAAUCAUUGGGCGUAAAGGGCGUGUAGGCGGUUUGUUAAGUCAUGUGUGAAAUCCCUCGGCUCAACCGGGGAACGACGCAUGAAACUGGCAAGCUAGAGUACCAAAGAGGAGGGUGGAAUUCCUGGUGUAGCGGUGAAAUGCGUAGAGAUCAGGAGGAACACCCGGGGCGAAGGCGGCCCUCUGGCUCGACCCUGACGCUGAGGCGCGAAAGCGUGGGGAGCGAACGGG
This 253-nucleotide ribosomal RNA is filed under the name uncultured bacterium. RNAcentral describes it as "partial 16S ribosomal RNA". It matches the Rfam family "Bacterial small subunit ribosomal RNA", at positions 524 to 776 of the family's 1533-position model. The record is from RNAcentral.